This 466-nucleotide ribosomal RNA is filed under the name uncultured bacterium. RNAcentral describes it as "partial 16S ribosomal RNA". It matches the Rfam family "Bacterial small subunit ribosomal RNA", at positions 339 to 795 of the family's 1533-position model. The record is from RNAcentral.
CUACGGGCCGCAGCAGUGGGGAAUAUUGGACAAUGGGGGAAACCCUGAUCCAGCAAUGCCGCGUGUGUGAAGAAGGCCUGCGGGUUGUAAAGCACUUUCGGUUGGGAGGACUGCUUCUAGCACUAAUAUUGUUGGAAGUUGACGUUACCUUCAGAAGAAGCACCGGCUAACUCCGUGCCAGCAGCCGCGGUAAUAGCGGAGGGUGCAAGCGUUAAUCGGAAUUACUGGGCGUAAAGCGCGCGUAGGCGGCUAGAUCAGUCGGGUGUGAAAGCCCCGGGCUUAACCUGGGAACUGCAUCCGAUACUGUCUAGCUUGAGUACAGGAGAGGAGAGUGGAAUUCCACAUGUAGCGGUGAAAUGCGUAGAUAUGUGGAGGAACACCAAUGGCGAAGGCAGCUCUCUGGCCUGAUACUGACGCUGAGGUGCGAAAGCGUGGGGAGCAAACAGGAUUAGAUACCCCUGUAGUC